UAUUGUAGAUGUUGGAGCAUAAAAAGCAUUUUUGUAUCACGCAUAAAUGGUAUUCUUAAUUAUAGAUAUGAGCUAGUCAUUCGAUUAUGAAGAAACUACGAUGAUGUAAAGAUUGAAAACAUAUUGUGACAACACCAAAUGGAAUUUGAACCAACAAUUAGACGAUGAAGUGAACUGAUUGGACGCUGACGAAUUGACGAACUGACUUUAAGCCGAAUUGACGCUUGGAAGCUGACAAACGGAGAGGCUGUGGCGCACGAACGAACAUUGAAGAACGAGAAAGAAGAACGAAUGUUGAAGAACGAGGAAGACGAACGUAUGAACCAACCUAUCACUGGGUGAUGGGAGAAAAUCAGGGAAGAGGAAAAAAAUGGGGGGAAAACAAGGUUUUUUAGAAAUGGAGGGAGAAAAGGGAAAUAUGCGAAAAUCAAAAGAGAUAAUUUUUUAUUUUUUUUUUAGAAAAUGGUGGAAAUAUAUAUUAGUUGAUAUUUAAAAAAUGUCAAGUGAUUACAAUUAAUCUGGACGAUUUUAACCAUUCAAGUAUUUAAACAAAAAACAAAAAAUUUGUCUUUUUCUACUCUUUUAUUAUUCUUGACGUUUUUAUGUUACUUGACAGUUUUUAUUAGAUCAUUCAAGUAUUUAAAUAAAAAACAAAAAAAUUGUCUUUUUCUACUCUUUUAUUAUUCUUGACGUUUUUAUGUUACUUGACAGUUUUUAUUAGAAGCGUCAAGUAUUUCAAAUCUACAACCGUCAAGUUUUGCCAAUUUUGUAGUAGUCUUAAUGGUAUGUUUAGUUUCUUUGUUUGUGAUAACUAAUAUACUUUACCAAGUAUAAAAUAAUUAGUUAAUUUGUUUUCUUUUAAAAAUUUUGAUAUGAUUUUGAUGACAUGUAUAUUAUAUUUUACAUGGUAUAUUGAUUGUACAAUAGAUAUAUAUUCCCAAUGAGGGAAAAUGUGUCGCAAACCUCUCUUUGCCCAACAAAAAUAAUCUACAAACUUGAAUCCUACUACUACCGUAAAGAUAUAGCAAUAGUGGUAAGUUUGGGGCCGAAUCAUUAGAAGAAGUUGACAAUUAUGCUAAAUUGAGUUGUUAUAGACGUAUUUAAAUAAUAUGUAUAAUUAAAGUGUGGAUUAUGUAUGUGAAUUAAUAGUUUAGCACGUUAGGUUAUUUAUUAAUUGGGUCUAUUAUGUGAUCUAUUUAGUUAAUGCACAAGAUUCCUAAUUGAGUAUGUACUAAAUGGAUAGAAGUUUAUUCCUAGAUUGAUUAGAAUUUAGUGAGAAUCUUAAUUGAACUAGUAUAUAAAAAGACUUAAGGUUGUUGUUCCCAAAAAUAUACCAAAACAAUAAUAAGCACUCAGACUUUCUUGUAUCUCAUCAAGAGAAAGACUUUCUUGUAUCUCAUCAAGAGAAAGAUUCCACUAGAAAGAUCUCACUAAAGGUAUUCAAAGUUUUGGUUAAGAAAGACAAAUAGUCAUUUUAUAGUCAUCAUCAAUUACUCAGAGAUGGAAUCUGGUAUAUAACUUUAUUCUUGACAAUUUGAUAUGAAUGAUGUUGAGCUAAUUUAUUAUAUAUUUAAGCUCUAUAUUUACUAUUUAUAAGGUCUUUAUAAAAAGAUCUCAAAAAUAGUAAAUAUGAUUUGAAAAAAAUUCCCGUAAACAAUCUCUACCAUAAGGACUAUUCAUGAGUCUUUUAUCAAAUUCUAAUUAUACGUUAUAAAAACUAAAUUUUAAUAACUAGUACGACGACAUUUAUAAUUUAACAAAAGAAAUUAAUUUAUUUUUGUUUAAUUAAAUGAAAAUAAAAUAAAAGGUAGAUUAACUUAAGCUUUUAAUCUUGCUUCAUUGAUGGAAGAAAAUUAGAGUAGGACAAAGGCAAACUACUCCUUCAAACAAAUUCAUAAAUAUUAUCAAAUUUGAUCUAUUCUUCAAAUUCAUAGCCUUAAAAGUAAUAUAUAUAUUCACUCUACUUUAAUAUAUUUUUUAAUCGAUAUAAUUGCAUGAUUGGAUUGCAUUCAUAUAAUAAAAUAGACAGAUUGAUUGUUCCAAAAUGAGGCAAUUGAAAAAUGGAAGCAAGUAGUGGGUAUGGUCCACACUGAUUGGGAGUUGAAGUAUGAAUUAAUGACACUCCAAGAUUGACCAUUUUGGUCAUUUUCAAUGUUUAUUCAACGAAAACCAAAGUACAUACAUUAAGCAUAUUUAGAGGGUUUUUUAUCUUAUCAUUUUUCAAUUCACUCAUUUAUUAUUUUAAUUAUUUUCUUAAUUUAUUCAUUUGGGUUCAAUCAUUUUUUAAAAGAGAGAUGAUCAAUCUACAUCUUAUCCAGAAACUAGCUUAUGUCAUAACCUUGUAUUUUUCUGUUCAUUAUCUUUAUUUUCUUUAUUAAAUUACAAUUUUCAUUUUUAUAUCAACUUAUUUCUUCUUCUAAUUUUAUAUCAACUUAUUUCAUCUUCUAAUCUUAUGGCAGAUACGUUUUACUCUAACUGCAACUAAACAAAUUUAGUAAUCAACAUGUAUAACAAUCCUAAUUGAAACAAAGAUAUGGUUAAAAGAAAAACUCACAUUUGAUGCUUUUCUCUUCUUGUAAUCUCCUCACGAAACCGAAGCCGGUACUACCACUAGUGUAGACCCGCUAUUCUCCGGACUUGGAAUCGAGUUGUGGGACUCGAAUGGUGGAUGAAAAAAAAGAUAGAGAUAAUACCCUUUCUUUUUGGAGGAAUCUAACCUUUUGAUUUUUUUUUUCUUUUUGUUGAGAGUAAAAAAAUACUUUGAUUAUUUUGUAAUUCACAUUUCAAAAUAAAAAGUUCUUUCAUCUUUGCAAAAAAAAUCAUUUUACAAGCGAACUACAUGCAAGAGCUUCCUUAUCUCACCACUUGACAUUAUUAGUGGGAUAGAUGUCUUGCAUGCAAUAAGCGAC
Molecule: long non-coding RNA, 2909 nt
Filed under: Cucumis sativus (cucumber)
Lineage: Eukaryota; Viridiplantae; Streptophyta; Magnoliopsida; Cucurbitales; Cucurbitaceae
Description: long non-coding RNA (CSAT_LNC001475)
Source: RNAcentral